CAACCCUCAAGCACUGCUUGGUAUUGGAUGCAACUUGUAGUGCAUCUUAAAAGCAUUGGUAACAGCAUUUAACUUUCAGUGUAGUAAAUUUUCUCGCUCUGGAGCUUAUCUACCUGCUUGCCAGAACUAUUAUUUCAAA
Molecule: unclassified non-coding RNA, 139 nt
Filed under: uncultured Leotiomycetes
Lineage: Eukaryota; Fungi; Ascomycota; Leotiomycetes
Description: sequence contains ITS2
Source: RNAcentral